Molecule: unclassified non-coding RNA, 730 nt
Filed under: Bombus terrestris (buff-tailed bumblebee)
Lineage: Eukaryota; Metazoa; Arthropoda; Insecta; Hymenoptera; Apidae
Description: misc RNA ENSBTSG00005034818.1
Source: RNAcentral
AGGCACAGCUGCGUUAAUACGUUCCGGUGAAAGAAAGACGCAUUGGCACGACACGUGACAAGCGAUGCUUCGUUCGUCCAGACACCGAUCAAUAAGACGAUCAGGUUUAUAUAGCGUUCUCCAAACCGAACCUAAUGUCACAUACUUACGUGCACACGCGUAAUUUACUACACACGUGGCGGUAAAGUGUCGUCAGACGCGUUUGCAGCUCUGUUAUAUAACUCGACAAAACGUUCAAAGUCCGAGACGCUCUGGCUGCAGAUGUUCUUGCAACAUCGUUGUCCUUACGCGGAUUUAAAGAUGGUAAACGCAUGGAAAUCGAGAAACCUGGCCGACAUGGUAGCGCGUUGCUUUUCGAACCUUGGGACGAAAGAGGAAGCAAAACACGCGGAUGACAGUCAUAAAAGGUCGCUCAUGAAUAUGCACGACGAAAACUCAAGAAGCGAAAUGAGUAAUAGGGAAGGUAUAAUGAGAUGCUGAUUAUGAUGUAAGCGGUUUAUCCAGGCAUAAUGAUUCGGGGAGCAGAUUGUGACCAAUGAAUGCCUUCACUUUCUACCUUUACACCCAUUGUACGCGGUAUUGUCGACCAAUGCAACACGAUUGUUCACGACUCUACCGAUGUCUGACCUUUUACACAUGAUAUUUAUAAGAUUUGCUGCACGAGACGACCGUGACUUUAGGUGAGGUCGUUAUGCAAAUUACGCGUCCUUACAUUUAUUAUACCUGCUAA